This 253-nucleotide ribosomal RNA is filed under the name uncultured bacterium. RNAcentral's name for it is "partial 16S ribosomal RNA". It matches the Rfam family "Bacterial small subunit ribosomal RNA", at positions 524 to 776 of the family's 1533-position model. The record is from RNAcentral.
GACAGAGGUGCCGAGCGUUAGGCGGAAUCACUGGGCUUAAAGCGUGUGUAGGCGGAUUUGUAAGUACCUUGUGAAAUCCCACGGCUCAACCGUGGAACUGCUUGGUAUACUGCUUAUCUUGGGCCACUUAGGGGCUACCGGAACAAACGGUGGAGCGGUGAAAUGCGUAGAUAUCGUUUGGAACGCCAAUGGUGAAAACAGGUAGCUGGGAGUGUGCCGACGCUGAGACACGAAAGCCAGGGGAGCGAACGGG